RNAcentral lists this ribosomal RNA (274 nucleotides) under uncultured bacterium. RNAcentral's name for it is "partial 16S ribosomal RNA". It matches the Rfam family "Archaeal small subunit ribosomal RNA", at positions 473 to 747 of the family's 1478-position model. The record is from RNAcentral.
AAACCAGCACCUCAAGUGGUCAGGAUGAUUAUUGGGCCUAAAGCAUCCGUAGCCGGCUCUGUAAGUUUUCGGUUAAAUCUGUAUGCUCAACAUACAGGCUGCCGGGAAUACUGCAGAGCUAGGGAGUGGGAGAGGUAGACGGUACUCGGGAGGAAGUGGUAAAAUGCUUUGAUCUCUCGAUGACCACCUGUGGCGAAGGCGGUCUACCAGAACACGUUCGACGGUGAGGGAUGAAAGCUGGGGGAGCAAACCGGAUUAGAAACCCGAGUAGUCC